UUAAUAAUGUUUAUAAUCAAAUAGACAAGUUUAAUUAGGCUUAUACUAUGAUCUAGGAUCAUUAGAAGUUAAGGAAGAGGUCUAGAACGAGUUCUGGGGUGUUGAGUGCUUGAAAUUUGCAGAAUUUCAUUCUGUAGAUUAUGCAGAGUCGCAUAGCGCACCCUGUGCGCUAUGCAAAUUUUAGCUAAAAGGCUUCCCCGUCAGGAAAAUUCGCUCAGCACACCAAGGGUGGUGCGUUGUGCGAAUCUUUGUUGUCAUGCCUUGCCUCCCCCUUCAGGAAAAUUCGCUCAACGCACCAAGGGUGAUGCGCUGUGCGAAUUUUUGCUGUCUUGCCUUGCACCCUGGUGCGCUGUGCAACGCAUUUCAGUGAGCUUCACACUUUUCCUCAUCUGUUUGAGCUAUUUGAUGUUGUUUGACUGCCAGGGUGUAUGUAUGUCUAUAUAACUUAUUUGGGUGGCUUGAUUUUGCAGCAUGAUUGAGGGUAUGUUGUAUUGUGUUGUGAAUUAUAGUUUGAAAGUAUGUAUGAAACAAAGUUGUGAUUGGUGUAAGUGUAAAAUAUGGUUCAUGGACGUAAUUCUAUGAUCCUCAAGGAGAGGAUACAUGGUGGUGCCCUAGUAGUGUGUAGAAUGAUUGCAUGGCAGCUUAGUCUUGGGGGUUUUCGUGAAACUACAAUGAUCAAUCAUUCUCAAGUAGAGAGGAUUGAAUCAUGUGGUGAGUAGUAGAAGGAGGUCCUAGUCUUGAAGGCUCCCAGUAUGUUCCAGGGCGCGGAACGAACUAACCUCGUGAGUGUGGUAGGGUGGAUGAUGGAAGCUUGCCCAGGCCUAGAUCUUGCAGAAUACAAAUUCAAACAGCAGGCAAGUUGAUUGGCAGAGUGGUGCAGCGGACAUGAAUAAAGAUGCAGCGGAUGUAGGUGGAAUUUAGUGGAAUUGUAGUGUUUAGUGAUGUUGGGAAUGUGUGGAGUAUCCUCUCAGCUCAGAAGGCCUUCACCAUUGGAAGGAAGCUAGAGGAGAAGUUGGGAGAAGCACAGGGGUGACCUUCGAUGGGAGAAGACGCUGGAAAAUGCAUCAGCAAAUCGAUUCUCUCAUAUAUUCAAAGGUCUCUUUACAUGCUGAUACAAAGAGUAUUUAUAAUAAAACUCUUAAGCUAUGCACGGUGCUGAUUGAGGAGAAGAGAUGUAGAUCUUCAACCACGUGGCAGCAGUGUGGAACGUGUUUAGACCUUCCAGAAUUAGCAAGCGUGGCUUGGAAGAAGCAAGUGUAUCAGCAGAAUCACCUCAGCGUGGGAAUCAUGCAUCAACGUGGGAAGUCAUGUGUUUUCAUGAUGCAAUUCCUUCCUUACUAAGCUCACCCCCUCCCUUUGUGUAAAAUGACUUCUUUAUCCUUCUUCUUGGGUUGGUUUGGUCCAUGCUAAGUUAUCUAGUUGAUCCAUGAUCUCUUAGCUUUAUUAGACCUACAAAACACAUAUAAACAUAUUAAAGAGAAUCCUUCUAAGACUUAGAGAAAGAAAAUCAAGAAAGAGCUUUUAAAAGUCCUUCUUCACUUCCCUUUCUUAGCCUUAGCUUUAGUUGUUACUCCUUUGAAUGGAAUGCCCUCAAUGGGUUUCCAUCAGUUGAACCCAUUAGCAACGGCUUUGCAAAGCAGUAGAAGCCACCAUGAGUGCAUAACCCGCC
This 1669-nucleotide long non-coding RNA is filed under the name Vigna radiata. Its description in RNAcentral is "long non-coding RNA (VRAD_LNC003734)". The record is from RNAcentral. Lineage: Eukaryota; Viridiplantae; Streptophyta; Magnoliopsida; Fabales; Fabaceae.